UGUUAUUUAAUUUAGUAUAAAAAUAUUUUCUAUGUGUGAAAAAUAGAAUCAGUUUACGA
Molecule: transfer RNA, 59 nt
Filed under: Ulva lacinulata
Lineage: Eukaryota; Viridiplantae; Chlorophyta; Ulvophyceae; Ulvales; Ulvaceae
Description: tRNA-Thr
Source: RNAcentral